CAAGAAAUAGUUUAUUUAAAAUAUUAAUUUUGGAAAUUAAUGAUAUAAUUUUUUAUUUUUUUGA
This 64-nucleotide transfer RNA is filed under the name Azana sp. WQY005. RNAcentral describes it as "tRNA-Pro". The record is from RNAcentral. Lineage: Eukaryota; Metazoa; Arthropoda; Insecta; Diptera; Mycetophilidae.